Molecule: small nuclear RNA, 159 nt
Organism: Arabis alpina (gray rockcress)
Lineage: Eukaryota; Viridiplantae; Streptophyta; Magnoliopsida; Brassicales; Brassicaceae
Rfam family: U1 spliceosomal RNA
About the family: U1 is a small nuclear RNA (snRNA) component of the spliceosome (involved in pre-mRNA splicing). Its 5' end forms complementary base pairs with the 5' splice junction, thus defining the 5' donor site of an intron.
Source: Rfam
UCACUUACCUGGACGGGGUCAACUCGCGAUCAAGAAGACGAGUGGCCUAGGCUAGUGAUUUCCAUUGCACAAUAAGGUUGGGUGCUAUGCCUAAGGUCUUUUAAAGAACCUGCGUCAUUAUUUGUGGCUAGAGGGGACCUGCGUUCGCGCGGUCCCUAC